This 253-nucleotide ribosomal RNA is filed under the name uncultured bacterium. Its description in RNAcentral is "partial 16S ribosomal RNA". It matches the Rfam family "Bacterial small subunit ribosomal RNA", at positions 524 to 776 of the family's 1533-position model. The record is from RNAcentral.
ACCGUAGGACGCAAUCGUUAUCCGGAAUUACUGGGCGUAAAGGGCGUGCAGGCGGUCUCUUAAGUUAGGCGUGAAAGCUCCGGGCUAAACCUGGAGAGGUCGUCUGAUACUGGGGGACUAGAGUGUGGUAGAGGGGUGUGGAAUUCCGGGUGUAGUGGUGAAAUGCGUAGAUAUCCGGAGGAACACCAGUGGCGAAGGCGGCACCCUGGGCCACAACUGACGCUAAGACGCGAAAGCAUGGGUAGAGAACGGG